RNAcentral lists this transfer RNA (87 nucleotides) under Deltaproteobacteria bacterium OttesenSCG-928-K17. RNAcentral describes it as "tRNA-Leu". It matches the Rfam family "tRNA". Rfam says of the family: Transfer RNA (tRNA) molecules are approximately 80 nucleotides in length. The record is from RNAcentral. Lineage: Bacteria; Deltaproteobacteria.
GCCCGGAUGGUGGAAUUGGUAGACACAAGGGACUUAAAAUCCCUCGAUGGCAACAUCGUGCCGGUUCGAUUCCGGCUCCGGGCACCA